RNAcentral lists this ribosomal RNA (253 nucleotides) under uncultured bacterium. Its description in RNAcentral is "partial 16S ribosomal RNA". It matches the Rfam family "Bacterial small subunit ribosomal RNA", at positions 524 to 776 of the family's 1533-position model. The record is from RNAcentral. RNAcentral also lists the same sequence under 1 other name.
UACGGAGGGUGCGAGCGUUGUCCGGAAUCACUGGGCGUAAAGGGCGCGUAGGUGGCCCGUUAAGUGGCUGGUGAAAUCCCGCGGCUCAACUGCGGGGCUGCCGGUCAGACUGGCGAGCUAGAGCACGGUAGGGGCAGAUGGAAUUCCCGGUGUAGCGGUGGAAUGCGUAGAGAUCGGGAAGAAUACCAGUGGCGAAGGCGUUCUGCUGGGCCGUUGCUGACACUGAGGCGCGACAGCGUGGGGAGCAAACAGG